Molecule: unclassified non-coding RNA, 309 nt
Filed under: plant metagenome
Description: partial contains 5.8S ribosomal RNA, internal transcribed spacer 2, and large subunit ribosomal RNA
Rfam family: 5.8S ribosomal RNA (bases 1-105)
Source: RNAcentral
GAAAUUCGAUAAGUAGUGUGAAUUGCAGAAUUCAGUGAAUCAUCGAAUCUUUGAACGCACAUUGCGCCCCUUGGUAUUCCAUGGGGCAUGCCUGUUCGAGCGUCAUUUGUACCCUCAAGCUCUGCUUGGUGUUGGGUGUUUGUCCCGUCUCCGCGCGUGGACUCGCCCCAAAGUGAUUGGCAGCCGGCGUACUGGUCCCGGAGCGCAGCACAUGUCGCGCAAACGAGUGCCUUGGUACGGCGGCGUCCAUAAGCCCCUCUCUCACGCUCUUGACCUCGGAUCAGGUAGGGAUACCCGCUGAACUUAAGC